GACGAACGCUGGCGGCGUGCUUAACACAUGCAAGUCGAACGGAAAGGCCCUGCGUUUGUGGUGCGCUCGUGUGUCGCACGCGUGUGUAACACGUGAGUAACCCCCCCCUGACUUUGGGAGAAAUCUAGGAAAAUGGGGCUAAUAUCGGACAGGAGCUCCUGCGGCAUGGUUGGGGUUGGAAAGAUUCGGCGGUUGGGGACGGACUCGCGGCCUAUCAGCUUGUUGGUGGGGUAGUGGCUUACCAGGGCUUUGACGGGUAGCCGGCCUGAGAGGGUGACCGGCCACAGUGGGACUGAGAUACGGCCCAGACUCCUACGGCAGGCAGCAGUGGGGAAUAGUGCACGAUGGGCGGAAGCCUGAUGCAGCAACGCCGCGUGCGGGAUGACGGCCUUCGGGUUAUAAACCGCUUUCGCCUGUGACGAAGCGUGAGUGACGGUAAUGGGUAAAGAAGCACCGGCUAACUACGUG
This 468-nucleotide ribosomal RNA is filed under the name uncultured bacterium. Its description in RNAcentral is "partial 16S ribosomal RNA". It matches the Rfam family "Bacterial small subunit ribosomal RNA", at positions 28 to 507 of the family's 1533-position model. The record is from RNAcentral.